GUGUGCUUUGGUAACCCAUGUACAACAACUGGAACAAUAUAGAGAAGAUGAGCAUGGCCCUUGUACAAGGAAGACCCAUGAAUUAAAAAAACAAAAACAGAAAUA
This is a non-coding RNA of Otolemur garnettii (small-eared galago), 105 nucleotides long. The record is from Rfam. Lineage: Eukaryota; Metazoa; Chordata; Mammalia; Primates; Galagidae.